RNAcentral lists this ribosomal RNA (856 nucleotides) under Amanita paludosa. Its description in RNAcentral is "LSU rRNA". It matches the Rfam family "Eukaryotic large subunit ribosomal RNA", at positions 75 to 894 of the family's 3401-position model. Lineage: Eukaryota; Fungi; Basidiomycota; Agaricomycetes; Agaricales; Amanitaceae. The record is from RNAcentral.
UUCCCCUAGUAACUGCGAGUGAAGCGGGAAAAGCUCAAAUUUAAAAUCUGGCAGCUCUUUUUUUUCUUCUUUGGCUGUCUGAGUUGUAAUCUAGAGAAGUGCUUACCUGCACUGGACCAUGUAUAAGUCUCCUGGAAUGGAGCCUCACAGAGGGUGAGAAUCCCGUCUUUGACAUGGACUGCCAGUGUGUUGUGGUGUGCUCUCAAAGAGUCGAGUUGUUUGGGAAUGCAGCUCUAAAUGGGUGGUAAACUCCAUCUAAAGCUAAAUAUUGGCGAGAGACCGAUAGCGAACAAGUACCGUGAGGGAAAGAUGAAAAGGACUUUGGAAAGAGAGUUAAACAGUAUGUGAAAUUGUUGAAAGGGAAACGCUUGAAGUCAGUUAUGUUGGCUAGGGAUCAACCUAGCUAUUUAUUGCUGGGUGAAUUUCCUAGUCUGACAGGCCAAUGUCAGUCUUGACUGCUAGAAAAGAGCAGAGGGAAUGUGGCACCUUUGGGUGUGUUAUAGCUCUUUGUCAUAUGUGGCAGUUGGGACUGAGGGAUGCAGCGUGCCGUGAGGCUGGGUUUCGACCACGUUCGCGCUUAGGAUGUUGGCUUUUAAUGGCUUCAAUCGACCCGUCUUGAAACACGGACCAAGGAGUCUAACAUGCCUGCAAGUGUUUGGGUGGUGAAAACCCUUGUGCACAAUGAAAGUGAAAGUUGAGAUCCCUGUCAUGGGGAGCAUCGACGCCCGGACCUGAGCUUUUAGCAAAGGAUCUGCGGUAGAGCAUGCAUGUUGGGACCCGAAAGAUGGUGAACUAUGCCUGAAUAGGGCAAAGCCAGAGGAAACUCUGGUGGAGGCUCGUAGCGAUUCUGACGUGC